This 307-nucleotide ribosomal RNA is filed under the name uncultured soil bacterium. RNAcentral's name for it is "bacterial SSU rRNA". It matches the Rfam family "Bacterial small subunit ribosomal RNA", at positions 27 to 337 of the family's 1533-position model. The record is from RNAcentral.
GAUUGAACGCUGGCGGCAUGCCUUACACAUGCAAGUCGAACGGCAGCACGGGAGCAAUCCUGGUGGCGAGUGGCGAACGGGUGAGUAAUAUAUCGGAACGUGCCCAGUCGUGGGGGAUAACGUAGAGAAAUUUACGCUAAUACCGCAUACGAUCCAAGGAUGAAAGCGGGGGACCGUAAGGCCUCGCGCGACUGGAGCGGCUGAUAUCAGAUUAGCUUGUGGUGAGGUAAAAGCUCACCAAGGCGACGAUCUGUAGCUGGUUUGAGAGAACGACCAGCCACACUGGGACUGAGACACGGCCCAGACU